GCUGACCGAGCGCACCCCGCCCCCGGCGCCAUCUUCCCGACUGCGAGCCGUCCAGGUCUCAGUGCUGUGUCCCCCCAGAGCCUAGAGGAUGUUUCAUGGGAUCCCAGCCACUCCGGGCAUAGGAGCCCCUGGGAACAAGCCGGAGCUGUAUGAGGAAGUGAAGUUGUACAAGAACGCCCGGGAGAGGGAGAAGUACGACAACAUGGCAGAGCUGUUUGCGGUGGUGAAGACAAUGCAAGCCCUGGAGAAGGCCUACAUCAAGGACUGUGUCUCCCCCAGCGAGUAAGAGCCCACGUCCUGGGAGGUCUGUUCCUGCCCUGGGGGGCUCGGGUGCUCCAUAGGCAGCAAGAGCAGGUGUCUGUCAGGCUGGGAGGCACCCACUUGUGUGGGGCCCACCCAGCGUGAGGAGGGUGCCCCUGGGUCUCAGCCAGGGAAGUCCUGGGGGCUGGUGAGGGAGGCGGGCAGAGGCGCAGCUCCUGGGGUGUCAUCCGGCCCACUCCCCCACCCUCAUCCCCCAGCACAGGCAACCUUAAAAAACGGUCGAGAGGCUUGGGGAUGUCCCAGGAUCU
RNAcentral lists this small RNA (569 nucleotides) under Pan troglodytes (chimpanzee). Its description in RNAcentral is "processed transcript". Lineage: Eukaryota; Metazoa; Chordata; Mammalia; Primates; Hominidae. The record is from RNAcentral.